This 526-nucleotide ribosomal RNA is filed under the name uncultured bacterium. RNAcentral's name for it is "partial 16S ribosomal RNA". It matches the Rfam family "Bacterial small subunit ribosomal RNA", at positions 355 to 871 of the family's 1533-position model. The record is from RNAcentral.
UGGGGAAUUUUGGACAAUGGGCGCAAGCCUGAUCCAGCCAUGCCGCGUGCGGGAAGAAGGCCUUCGGGUUGUAAACCGCUUUUGUCAGGGAAGAAAUCUUCUGAGUUAAUACCUCGGGAGGAUGACGGUACCUGAAGAAUAAGCACCGGCUAACUACGUGCCAGCAGCCGCGGUAAUACGUAGGGUGCAAGCGUUAAUCGGAAUUACUGGGCGUAAAGCGUGCGCAGGCGGUUUUGUAAGACAGAGGUGAAAUCCCCGGGCUCAACCUGGGAACUGCCUUUGUGACUGCAAGGCUUGAGUGCGGCAGAGGGGGGAUGGAAUUCCGCGUGUAGCAGUGAAAUGUGUAGAUAUGCGGAGGAACACCGAUGGCGAAGGCAAUCCCCUGGGCCUGCACUGACGCUCAUGCACGAAAGCGUGGGGAGCAAACAGGAUUAGAUAGCCCUGGUAGUCCACGCCCUAAAACGAUGUCAACUGGUUGUUGGGAAGGUUCCUUCUCAGUAACGUAGCUAACGCGUGAAGUUGACCG